This 151-nucleotide unclassified non-coding RNA is filed under the name uncultured Lecanoromycetes. RNAcentral's name for it is "sequence contains ITS1". The record is from RNAcentral. Lineage: Eukaryota; Fungi; Ascomycota; Lecanoromycetes.
CCGAGCGAGGGCCCCCGGCCCGACCUCCAACCCUUUGCUGACCCCACCUGUUGCCUCGGGGGCGACCCGGACGCCGACGCGUCGGCGUCGGGCACCCCGACGGACCACUUCAACUCUGUGUCUGUACGUCGGAGUACUUAUGAAUUAAUUA